ACCUCGCUCAGGUAUUCGCUAAAAAAGAGCGAAUUCCUGAGCGACUUAACACUAAUGGUGUAUGUAUGAGCACCUACUCCGUAAAAGUAAUUGUAAUCUCAUGAAUAGCUCCGUAAAGCUAGCUAGCUACUACUAUGGCAAUUUCAACGUCUUUUGAUAUCCAAGAAGCAUUAGCAUAUGCACUGUCUUGUAUGAAGCAAGAAGGACUGAUCCUCAAGGAACAGCAGGUCCGUGCUCUCAAGCUCCUGUCAGAAGGAAGGGACGUUUUUGUGUGGUUCCCAACUGGGUAUGGCAAGUCUCUGUGCUAUCAAUUGCUACCCUUCUUGAUGGACUACAAGCUUGGUAGGACUAAGGGUCCUCUUGUCGCCAGAAGUGUAGUUCUUGUCAUCUCUCCCCUUGUGUCUCUCAUGAUUGACCAGGAGUCUGAACACUAGAGGUGUUUCUGCUGCCAUCCUCAGUAGUAAUAAGGGAAUCGACAGAAGUCUUGUUGCCACUAACAAAGAUGUGUCGGAUGGAAAGUACCGUCUGCUGUUCACUGCCCCAGAGGCUGUUGUUGAAGACUAUCGUUGGAGGAUGCUAUUACUAGAGCCUCCACUCAAUUCCUCUUUAGUGGCAAUAGCUGUGGACGAAGCACACUGUGUUUACAAGUGGAGCUCUGACUUUCGUCCUGCCUAUGCACACCUAGGUGAGCUUAGAGCAUUUGCCCCUCCUGGUGCUCCAAUGUUGGCUGCAAACUGGAUAGUUUCUGACCUACCCUCUAGCUCCACAGCGAUUGCAGAUGAUGUCGAGGCACUGGCAUUAUGUGGACCAUUAAUGAGUAAAAGCAAGCCUUUUUCCUCGAACCCCGAUGGUACUCCUCUUUGCUGAUGGACGCGAGCUCACAGUGAAAGGAGAUGCGUCGGAACCACUCGUGUCCUUAGUCCUUUUCUUAGGGGCUGAUCUUACUGGACUACUAGGGAACUGCUCUUUGGACACUUGUUUCUGGUAGCUACGUCUGGCCAGGAGCCUGAACACCUCUAUGGACUCUAUCUUCUUGAUACAAGAAAGACAGACAAUCUUUGACAGGCCAUCUGAAUCACUAACAGGCAGAUCCAAUGCAAGACUGAGCCUCCCUGGAAUAUCUUCUUUGAGAGCCUUACUGCUGAACAAAUGUUUAUAUCUUCUGUUUUGUAUGGCAUCAGUGCUGCAACAUAACCUACAAAGAACAAACUUAGAAGCCAUCAUUAAUUUUAUUCAA
Halichondria panicea is the source of this 1237-nucleotide long non-coding RNA. RefSeq lists it as uncharacterized. NCBI's taxonomy places the organism in Eukaryota, Metazoa, Porifera, Demospongiae, Suberitida, Halichondriidae. The transcript has 3 exons. The record is from RefSeq and is a predicted model, not a curated record.